RNAcentral lists this unclassified non-coding RNA (240 nucleotides) under soil metagenome. RNAcentral describes it as "partial contains 5.8S ribosomal RNA, internal transcribed spacer 2, and large subunit ribosomal RNA". The record is from RNAcentral.
AACGAGGCCGACCUGCGGCUGAGUUACCUGCGGAGGGAUCAUUACAGAGUUCAUGCCCUCACGGGUAGAUCUCCCACCCUUGAAUACUAUACCUUUGUUGCUUUGGCGGGCCGCUUUGGCUACUGGCUCUGGCUAGUAAGUGCCCGCCAAAGAACCCCAAAACUCUGAAUAUUAGUGUCGUCUGAGUACUAUAUAAUAGUUAAAACUUUUAACAACGGAUCUCAGAUCGGAAGAGCACAC